GAAGCGGCGGGGGAGCACCCGGGCUUCAGGCGAGGGCGAGCGGCGGCGCCGUGUCCUCUUCUCCUCCUUCACCUCCGACACAUGGAGGUUGAGGUCGGGGAGCGCCGUCGGGGGCGCAUCCGCAGGAACCGCAACCGGCGGUUGGAGGAACUCCGUCACGGGGUCCUAGCCCAGCGGAACGAAGUGAUCCGGGUCCUCAUAGGAGGGCAUCGGAGACGGGAGGCACGGGCGCACGGCCUGUUCCCGGGGCGCUGGAAGUGGUGCAUCAGCGGCGGCCGUGUCGGAAGUUCCUCGUCGGAAAACUCGCGCUCUGAAUCGUCGAUGACCCAUCUGGCGCUUGUGUAAAACUUAUUUGCUAUGCAAUUAGAUGAAAUCUAGGCAGAUUGCUCUGUUCUCACGAAGUUGUUUACAGUUUGUAUGAUUUGAUAGAUGGAUCCUAUAUAUUCAUAUCUCAAGUCUUUAUGUCUGUUACCAGGGUCUACUGCGACCACCGUCCGACGGCCACAUCUUCCAUGUUGAAUAGGCUCUCGAAUUUUUCUGUAAGGCAGAGCCAUCGGGAGCAUCGAGAAGCAACAUCAAUGGCCCUGUACGGGCGGCAGCGGACAAAAAUGACGAGUGGAGCUGAGGCUCUAUGAAAUACACAUAAAGGGAUUCCAUGCGAAUAUAUGUUGAAGGUUCUGCAUUUCUUAAGUUAACUGAGUAUGCCAAAUUCUUGGCACUGUUCUCUUUUGUUCUUCCCAGUGAGAUUUUGAUUUUCUUUUCUGGUUGUACUCUUUGCAUAAUCUCAAACAUUCUCUUCUAAUGCAGAAUAAGACACACUUUGGUGUGUGUUUUUACAUUGCAGUUUCAAACUACGUUGUCCUCAAACAUUGUAGUCUCCAGUUGUCACAUGGUCUGUCCUUCAAAACAGCAGGUAAUAUUCAUAUUUAAUAUGCCGUUACCCCAUUGGUAGUCAACUUAGGAGCAGUUAAUCAAAUAUGUUGUUCACUAUCCAAGUAAUUUGUUGUCAGUCUGCUUCAAGCAUAUCUCUGAAGCCAGUUUUUUGCUUUACUGAUGGCUUUUCUGUAGAUGAAUAUAAAGGGUUUCAUGUUUCUUUAUGAUGUUUUGAUUAUAUAUCAGCGGCAUCACCAUUUUUAAUGGAAUUUCCCCUUAUUUAACAAUUCAGCAUCUAGCCCACCUGCAGUAAGACAUCGAAUCUGCGAUAUAAAGUGCCCUAAGUCUUGGUUAGUGAUUAAUGUAGGAAUUUGCGCCUUUCAGUAUUUUUUAUGUUCGCUACAUUGUUAUACUCCCGGAAUCAAAACCUCUAUGAGGAAGUAUUCGUGGAAAUAACAAGGAACAAUUGAUGCGGAAUUGUACUUAAGAAAUAUACGCAAGGAAACCGGCACCGCUGUACUGGAACGCAGUUGAUAUGAAUAUAUGCUGGAAUUAUACCCGGAACAGUAUAGAGUGGAAUGUCAGGUUGCCCGUAGGAUUGGCUCUAUGGAUUUGUAAAGCCCGCAACUUCGAAUUCAAACUCAGCGCACGACUUGCAUGCGUGUUUAGGACCUAAUUGAUUAACAUUUGGGAUCAGUAGAUGACUGUUAGUGAUUAUGGUUGGUUUAACAAGUCAAGGAGUUCUAUCUAGAAAUAGAUUGAAAUAUGCAGGAUUUGGAGUCUAUAUAAAGAUCUUUACCCUGAGCCUCAAUAUGCAUUGUGAGCGGCGCCACUGAUAACGCAAAGAAAUAAAGGGUAGGCUGACUAACUCCAAGCGCUAGGUUUCCUACAAUUAAUCCAGACAUUACAAGUAGUAAAUACAGAAAUCAACAACAACACACUCUGUCAGCGAAACUUGAAUUUUGCUUCCCUGACACAAUGGGACUUUUUCCAUAGUUUCAAUGCGAGGAAACAAGUUCAGUUAUAAUUUCCUGAAUUCAACUGAAAGAAGGGCUGGUUGGCCCAAUUUUUGUGUAGAAUGGUACCAGAUUUUAUUUUCAGGGUAAUAUAGUACUUUUACCAAGUUAAUAACCAAACCACAUUCCACACUGCUUAAAUGCAUUAUUACGGAUCGGAGAGAGUAACAAGCUUUGUUCUAGGAUGGGGUCCAUCUAUUUGUCAAGAUGUUGUGAAGUAGAAAGGAGAUGAAGAGCCACGGGGCUUGAAGUGAUAGAAAUGACGACGAUGCACGGCUGGACUACCAUGUGUGGAUGAUAAGAGAGACGGCUUAUGAUUUAACCAGCCUUAUUCUUAAAAUGGUAAAUAUCAACCAUAUACACGUUUGAUUCAUAUUUGUUCUAAAAGCGGUAUGUACCAACCAACCUUAUUUAGGAAGCGUGCUUUGAUAAAAUGUAGGAAAAACUUCCAAUAACCUGUAGAUCAGUUAAAUGGUUAAUACUGAAUCUACAAAAAUAAUAUCCUGCCGAUAAAUAUAAACAUAUGCAUGCUAUUCAUUUUACUAUUGCUCCAAAUAAUUUGAUUAUUUUGUUAAGAUGGCAUCAAGCUGUUGUAGAACCAUGUGAAGUGCCACCCUGAGGAAACUUUUACAACCAGGGGCCAAUAGGAAUAAAAGUCUUUAUCUAGGCUUACUAAUUUGCUACAACAAAUUAAUCGUCCAAUGCCUUCACCACCAUCUGUGACGACCUGAAUAUAAGCUGUCAUAUUCAGUACCUGCCAUAUAUUCAGGGUUAAUGUUGUUUUCUUUUUCACUUACAUGGUUUGCUUCCUAUAAGUGGAACUGAGCAUUCCAUCUGUCCUUGGAUUUUCAUGUUUUGAGCUAUAAUUGAUGUUGUUUUGUGUUAUGAGUCAGCUUGCCAUUUGUUCUGAUGGUUACAUAUGAAAUGCACAUAGCAGUAACUAUAUAUGUACUGAAGUAUAUUGUAACAAUCUAUUUUGGCUUUAUACUCAUAAUAAGCGACAAUGUAUCCAUACUGAAUGUCUGAAGAUCAUGACCUUAUGUAUCUGUGGCACUUCCAUGUGUUCGUAUAAUUUCAGAUGGUUUA
Lolium rigidum is the source of this 2975-nucleotide long non-coding RNA. RefSeq lists it as uncharacterized. The record is from RefSeq and is a predicted model, not a curated record. The transcript is spliced from 2 exons. Lineage: Eukaryota; Viridiplantae; Streptophyta; Magnoliopsida; Poales; Poaceae.